Molecule: non-coding RNA, 30 nt
Filed under: Mus musculus (house mouse)
Lineage: Eukaryota; Metazoa; Chordata; Mammalia; Rodentia; Muridae
Source: RNAcentral
UACACUAAUAUCUUGACCAUGGACCCUUGA